This 604-nucleotide long non-coding RNA is filed under the name Canis lupus familiaris (dog). RNAcentral's name for it is "lncRNA (ENSCAFG00845009200.1)". The record is from RNAcentral. Lineage: Eukaryota; Metazoa; Chordata; Mammalia; Carnivora; Canidae.
CUCAGGUGGAGACACAAGUUUCUUUGCCAGUCUCCUAACUAUUUUGGGGGAUAUCUCUGCUGGUCUCCCCACUGUCUCUGCCAGUCUCUCCACCAUCUCUGGGAAGAUCUCUGCCAGUCUCCCCACUGUGUUCACAAGUCUCCCUACCAUCUCUGUUGCUCUCCCCACUGUCUCUGCCAGUCUCCCUACCGUCUCUAGGGAGAUCUCUGACGGUCUCUGCACUAUCUUUGUGUUUCUCACCAGGUUCUUCAACUUCUGGGCGUUUUCUCAUUAGUCCUCAGACUUCAGAUACGACCAUUUCUGAGAGCACUGCGGUAACAGUCUCGGCUCCACCAGGACCUGUCUCCCUCACAGCAGCCCCUGGAACUGCUCCCACUGUGCCUGGCCUUCCACACCCAGCCUGGCUAUCUCCAGAGGUUCUACUUCCAUAAUAGCUGGAGUGGCCACCACGUGCUCUGAGCUCAGCCUCCAGACCAGAGAAGAGUUCCAUCCCAGACUGGGCCAUCCUACUGAUCACUCUCACUGUGAUGACAGCAAUGGUCAGCCUACCGCAUGGUGUCAAGAAGGUGAGUGAAGCUGUGGCCCAAAUGUGUGGGUCCCAAAG